This 539-nucleotide ribosomal RNA is filed under the name uncultured bacterium. RNAcentral's name for it is "bacterial SSU rRNA". It matches the Rfam family "Bacterial small subunit ribosomal RNA", at positions 777 to 1314 of the family's 1533-position model. The record is from RNAcentral.
AAUAGAUACCCUGGUAGUCCACGCCGUAAACGAUGAGUGCUAAGUGUUAGGGGGUUUCCGCCCCUUAGUGCUGCAGCUAACGCAUUAAGCACUCCGCCUGGGGAGUACGGUCGCAAGACUGAAACUCAAAGGAAUUGACGGGGGCCCGCACAAGCGGUGGAGCAUGUGGUUUAAUUCGAAGCAACGCGAAGAACCUUACCAGGUCUUGACAUCCCGCUGACCGCUAUGGAGACAUAGCCUUCCCUUCGGGGACAGCGGUGACAGGUGGUGCAUGGUUGUCGUCAGCUCGUGUCGUGAGAUGUUGGGUUAAGUCCCGCAACGAGCGCAACCCUUGAGAUUAGUUGCCAUCAUUCAGUUGGGCACUCUAAUCUGACUGCCGGUGAUAAACCGGAGGAAGGUGGGGAUGACGUCAAAUCAUCAUGCCCCUUAUGACCUGGGCUACACACGUGCUACAAUGGACGGUACAAACGGUUGCCAACCCGCGAGGGGGAGCCAAUCCGAUAAAACCGUUCUCAGUUCGGAUUGUAGGCUGCAACUCG